UAGGAAGCUUGCUUUCUGCCGCCGGCGACCGGCGCACGGGUGAGUAACACGUAUGCAACCUGGCCGUGACAGAUGGAUAACCGGGAGAAAUCCCGCCUAAUACAACAUAAUGCCGGGAGGGGACAUCCCCUGCCGGCCAAAGGGGGCGACCCCGGUCAUGGAUGGGCAUGCGGCGCAUUAGGUAGUUGGUGGGGCAACGGCCCACCAAGCCGACGAUGCGUAGGGGUUCUGAGAGGAAGGUCCCCCACAUUGGAACUGAGACACGGUCCAAACUCCUACGGGAGGCAGCAGUGAGGAAUAUUGGUCAAUGGCCGGAAGGCUGAACCAGCCAAGUCGCGUGAGGGAAUAAGGCCCUACGGGUCGUAAACCUCUUUUGCCAGGGAGCAAUGCCGUCCACGUGUGGACGGAAGGAGAGUACCUGGAGAAAAAGCAUCGGCUAACUCCGUGCCAGCAGCCGCGGUAAUACGGAGGAUGCGAGCGUUAUCCGGAUUUAUUGGGUUUAAAGGGUGCGUAGGCGGCCUGCCAAGUCAGCGGUAAAAUUGCGGGGCUCAACCCCGUACAGCCGUUGAAACUGCCGGGCUCGAGUGGGCGAGAAGUAUGCGGAAUGCGUGGUGUAGCGGUGAAAUGCAUAGACAUCACGCAGAACCCCGAUUGCGAAGGCAGCAUACCGGCGCCCGACU
This 680-nucleotide ribosomal RNA is filed under the name uncultured bacterium. RNAcentral's name for it is "bacterial SSU rRNA". It matches the Rfam family "Bacterial small subunit ribosomal RNA", at positions 71 to 741 of the family's 1533-position model. The record is from RNAcentral.